RNAcentral lists this ribosomal RNA (460 nucleotides) under uncultured bacterium. RNAcentral describes it as "partial 16S ribosomal RNA". It matches the Rfam family "Bacterial small subunit ribosomal RNA", at positions 338 to 795 of the family's 1533-position model. The record is from RNAcentral.
CCUACGGGUGGCAGCAGUGAGGAAUAUUGGUCAAUGGACGAGAGUCUGAACCAGCCAAGUAGCGUGAAGGAUGACUGCCCUAUGGGUUGUAAACUUCUUUUAUAUGGGAAUAAAAUGUUCCACGUGUGGGAUUUUGUAUGUACCAUAUGAAUAAGGAUCGGCUAACUCCGUGCCAGCAGCCGCGGUAAUCCGGAGGAUCCGAGCGUUAUCCGGAUUUAUUGGGUUUAAAGGGAGCGUAGGUGGAUUGUUAGGUCAGUUGUGAAUGUUUGCGGCUCAACCGUAAAAUUGCAGUUGAAACUGGCAGGCUGGAGUGCGGUAGAGGUGGGCGGAAUGCGUGGUGUAGCGGUGAAAUGCUUAGAUAUCACGAAGAACUCCGAUUGCGAAGGCAGUUCACUGGACUGCAACUGACACUGAGGCUCGAAAGUGUGGGUAUCAAACAGGAUUAGAUACCCCUGUAGUC